AUGCAUGUCUUAGUACAAGCUUGUAUCAAGCGAAACUGCGGAUGGCUCAUUAAAUCAGUCAUGGUUCCUUGGAACGAGUUGCCCUACAUGGAUAACUGUGGUAAUUCUAGAGCUAAUACAUGCCACCAAGCGCCGACCUUACGGAAGGCGUGCUUUUAUUAGGAACAAGAUCAACCGGGCCAGUCCCGAUAAGUUGGUGAACUCUGGAUAACUUAGCAGAUCGCAUGGUCUCAGCACCGGCGACAGAUCCUUCAAACGUCUGCCCUAUCAUACUUUCGAUGGUACGUUAUGCGCCUACCAUGGUCGUAACGGGUAACGGAGAAUCAGGGUUCGAUUCCGGAGAGGGAGCCUGAGAAAUGGCUACCACA
RNAcentral lists this ribosomal RNA (368 nucleotides) under Ophiuroidea sp. USNM IZ 1450567. RNAcentral's name for it is "SSU rRNA". It matches the Rfam family "Eukaryotic small subunit ribosomal RNA", at positions 51 to 414 of the family's 1831-position model. The record is from RNAcentral. Lineage: Eukaryota; Metazoa; Echinodermata; Ophiuroidea.